RNAcentral lists this unclassified non-coding RNA (306 nucleotides) under plant metagenome. RNAcentral's name for it is "partial contains 5.8S ribosomal RNA, internal transcribed spacer 2, and large subunit ribosomal RNA". The stretch from base 1 to 105 matches the Rfam family "5.8S ribosomal RNA", at positions 50 to 154 of the family's 154-position model. The record is from RNAcentral.
GAAAUGCGAUAAGUAAUGUGAAUUGCAGAAUUCAGUGAAUCAUCGAAUCUUUGAACGCACAUUGCGCCCGCCAGUAUUCUGGCGGGCAUGCCUGUCCGAGCGUCAUUUCAACCAUCAAGCCCCCGGGCUUGUGUUGGGGACCUGCGGCUGCCCGCAGGCCCUGAAAACCAGUGGCGGGCUCGCUGUCACACCGAGCGUAGUAGCAAUCACCUCGCUCAGGGCGUGCUGCGGGUUCCGGCCGUUAAACAGCCUUACAAAACCCAAGGUUGACCUCGGAUCAGGGAGGAAGACGCGCUGAACUUAAGC